CCAAACUUGCAACCAAGGCCACAAAGACAAAAUGCUCAACCUCAAGACGAACAAGCGAUUGCUGAUUUGCAGACGGUGGGAGAUUUUCUCACCGACAAUGUUGAAGUUACCGAGGAUGAUCCAAUCAAUGCUACAAAAAAGAGGCCUGCAAGGGGCAUAACUAAGAUGGAGGGAAUAUUCUCAAGGUCACCUGAAAUGCCAAAAAUCAAAAUUUUACUCAAUGAUCGAG
This is a long non-coding RNA of Zea mays, 229 nucleotides long. RefSeq lists it as uncharacterized. The record is from RefSeq and is a predicted model, not a curated record. NCBI's taxonomy places the organism in Eukaryota, Viridiplantae, Streptophyta, Magnoliopsida, Poales, Poaceae. The transcript has 2 exons.